AGGACGAACGCUGGCGGCGUGCUUAACACAUGCAAGUCGAACGGUGAAGGAGAGCUUGCUCUCUGGAUCAGUGGCGAACGGGUGAGUAACACGUGAGUAACCUGCCCUUGACUCUGGGAUAAGCGUUGGAAACGACGUCUAAUACCGGAUACGAGCUUCAGUCGCAUGGCUAGGAGCUGGAAAGAAUUUCGGUCAAAGGAUGGACUCGCGGCCUAUCAGCUAGUUGGUGAGGUAAUGGCUCACCAAGGCGACGACGGGUAGCCGGCCUGAGAGGGUGACCGGCCACACUGGGACUGAGACACGGCCCAGACUCCUACGGGAGGCAGCAGUGGGGAAUAUUGCGACAAUGGGCGCAAGACCUGAUGCAGCAACGACCGCGUGGGGACGAAGGCCUUGGUUCGUAACUCGUUUAGUAGGAAGAGACGAAAGUGAGGUACCUGACGAGAAAAGCAACGG
This 456-nucleotide ribosomal RNA is filed under the name uncultured soil bacterium. RNAcentral's name for it is "bacterial SSU rRNA". It matches the Rfam family "Bacterial small subunit ribosomal RNA", at positions 26 to 496 of the family's 1533-position model. The record is from RNAcentral.